RNAcentral lists this ribosomal RNA (512 nucleotides) under uncultured bacterium. Its description in RNAcentral is "partial 16S ribosomal RNA". It matches the Rfam family "Bacterial small subunit ribosomal RNA", at positions 28 to 507 of the family's 1533-position model. The record is from RNAcentral.
GACGAACGCUGGCGGCGUGCCUAAUACAUGCAAGUCGAGCGAGCGGAACUAACAGAUUUACUUCGGUAUUGACGACAGGAGAGCGAGCGGCGGAUGGGUGAGUAACACGUGGGGAACCUGCCCCAUAGUCUGGGAUACCACUUGGAACCAGGUGCUAAUACCGGAUAAGAAAGCAGAUCGCAUGUUCAGCUUUUAAUAGGCGGCGAAAGCAUCAGCUAUGGGAUGGCCCCGCGGUGCAUUAGCUAGUUGGUAAGGUAAAGGCUUACCAAGGCGAGGAGGCAUAGCCGAGACGAGAGACUGAUCGGACAGAUUGGCAGAGAGACACGGCCGAAACACCUACGGGAGGCAGCAGUAGAGAAUCCUACGCGAUGGAGGAGAGUCUGAUGGAGCAAAGCCGCGGGAGGGAAGAAGGUGUACGGAUCGGAGAGUUCUGUUGUUGGUGGAGAAGGAAAGAGGUAGUAACUGGCCUGUAUUUGACGGUAAUCGGAGAAAAAGCCACGGCUAACUACGUG